GGCCACCGGCUUGCGGCUGCCUCUCGGUUAUACCCUUGUCCGGUGGUCCUCCUCGCGGGGACGCCGUGGGCCUUUGCUGACGUUUACUUUGAAAAAAUUAGAGUGUUUAAAGCAGGCUAACGCUUGAAUACAUUAGCAUGGAAUAAUGAAAUAGGACGUUUGAUCCUAUUUUGUUGGUUUCUAGGAUUGACGUA
Molecule: ribosomal RNA, 194 nt
Filed under: uncultured fungus
Lineage: Eukaryota; Fungi
Description: partial small subunit ribosomal RNA
Rfam family: Eukaryotic small subunit ribosomal RNA (bases 80-194)
Source: RNAcentral